RNAcentral lists this ribosomal RNA (253 nucleotides) under uncultured bacterium. RNAcentral describes it as "partial 16S ribosomal RNA". It matches the Rfam family "Bacterial small subunit ribosomal RNA", at positions 524 to 776 of the family's 1533-position model. The record is from RNAcentral.
UACGUAGGUGGCAAGCGUUGUCCGGAUUUACUGGGUGUAAAGGGCGUGUAGCCGGGAAGGCAAGUCAGAUGUGAAAUCCGGAGGCUCAACCUCCGAAUUGCAUUUGAAACUGUUUUUCUUGAGUACUGGAGAGGCAGACGGAAUUCCUUGUGUAGCGGUGAAAUGCGUAGAUAUAAGGAGGAACACCAGUGGCGAAGGCGGUCUGCUGGACAGCAACUGACGGUGAGGCGCGAAAGCGGGGGGAGCAAACAGG